GUCUGUUCCCUUCCAAUGGGAGAAAGACCAGUUUUCCUCCAGCAUCAGGAGAUUCUCGCAGCCAAUGCGAGGCCAGACCCCAGUGACUCACCCCACAGUGUGUCGUUUCUCAAGCAGAUGUUCCGGGACCACAUGAAAGCUGGCAGGUUCAGUGUAUGGGGCCAGCAGUGGAGAGGAAGCGAACAGCUCAAUGGCAACUAGCUUAUAAACCUUCAGGCCCCCGGCAGCCUCCUGGGGACUCCUUGCCCUCUCGGGACCCUGAACAUGAACCAAGUCUCACACUUCCAACCCCUGGGAUGGAGACUCAGCCGGGAAAUGUGGGUUAAGUCAGGAAAUAGGACGGACCCUCUUUCCUCCACUUCAAGAUACACUUCGUCUUGUCCUUCCCUGCAGUGAAGGUCAUCAUGUUCAGCUGGCGUAACUUCCUCCCCGUUGAUGCAAGAAUCAAAUGAGAAAAUGCCACGUCCUGGUCCCUACGAGAGCAUCAGGGUGGUGCAAAUAGAAGCCAUUGCGAUCAGAGUGCAAAUGGCACAGGGAGGUGUUCCCUGGUGCCCCUGCCCUUUGCAAGGUGACAACCGCUCUGGGCUGAGAGUGUUGGCGGUAGGAGAGUCAGAAGCAGAAAUACUGAUAAGGAGCAACGAUCACGGGAUCAGCCCACGCCUCACCCCCUUCCCAGGGAGAGGGUCUGAAGUUUCUCAUUCUGGAACUACCCAUGAUCUUCCAGCAAGAUGUUUGUCCUACGGUUUUGAGCACCUGGCCCCCUGGUUUGAGAAGCCCUGCCUUCAAAUCACAUCAGGAUUGAGGGCCGCUGUCAUACUGCCUGUGUUGGAAUUGACUUCAAAAUACUUUGGUGUAGGGGUGCCUGGGUGGCCCGGUUGGUUAAGUGUCUGACUCUUAAUUUCAGCUCAGGUCACGAUCUCACAGUUCAUGG
Molecule: long non-coding RNA, 931 nt
Organism: Leopardus geoffroyi (Geoffroy's cat)
Lineage: Eukaryota; Metazoa; Chordata; Mammalia; Carnivora; Felidae
Exons: 4
Source: RefSeq, a predicted model, not a curated record